This 435-nucleotide ribosomal RNA is filed under the name uncultured bacterium. RNAcentral's name for it is "partial 16S ribosomal RNA". It matches the Rfam family "Bacterial small subunit ribosomal RNA", at positions 28 to 507 of the family's 1533-position model. The record is from RNAcentral.
GAUGAACGCUGGCGGUAUGCUUAACACAUGCAAGUCGAACGGACUCUUCGGAGUUAGUGGCGGACGGGUGAGUGACGCGUGAGAAUCUGGCUUUGGGUUCGGGACAACCACUGGAAACGGUGGCUAAUACCGGAUGUGCCGAGAGGUAAAAGAGAAAUUGCCUGAAGAUGAGCUCGCGUCUGAUUAGCUAGUUGGUGAGGUAAAGGCUCACCAAGGCAGCGAUCAGUAGCUGGUCUGAGAGGAUGACCAGCCACACUGGGACUGAGACACGGCCCAGACUCCUACGGGAGGCAGCAGUGGGGAAUUUUCCGCAAUGGGCGAAAGCCUGACGGAGCAAUACCGCGUGAGGGAAGAAGGCUCUUGGGUUGUAAACCUCUUUUCUUAGGGAAGAACAAAAUGACGGUACCUAAGGAAUCAGCAUCGGCUAACUCCGUG